GAAGAAGACGAGAAGGGACUACAGUUGCAGGUGGAGUCAUAUGGAGUCUGGGAGUAGCAGCGGUGCUCAUGGUGUAUCUCAAGUCCAAUGUACAUGGAGGUUCGACGCACGGACGAAUUCAAGGUGGUGGAGAAUAUUCGCCAAGGUGAAGUUUGUUAGAGUUGUGUCGAAUAUUAUUGUACAAGUUAGGUUAUAGUUGGACUUGGAGUCGUACG
RNAcentral lists this ribosomal RNA (215 nucleotides) under Triticum aestivum (bread wheat). RNAcentral describes it as "partial small subunit ribosomal RNA". The record is from RNAcentral. Lineage: Eukaryota; Viridiplantae; Streptophyta; Magnoliopsida; Poales; Poaceae.